CGGAAGAUAUAUAGCCUGUACCAGAGCAGCUGGAAUCAAAGCUACGUCAAUCGGUUAAAGCGAAGCAGACGGCUUCCCAAUGGCUCCUGCAACAGUUGUGAUCUUGUGGGCUCAUUUUGUCGGUGCGUUUGCCACUGAUGUUGCCGAUACCAUUUCUUGCACAGAUGGCAUCACAGACGAGAAUUCCAUAGACGGCUAUCAGUUUCUCAAAAGUGAUACCAGGCAUCACUUGCUUAUGACGAGCCUUAAAGACAUCUACAACCUUCCUGAUGGCACAUCCGUUACUUGUAUUGGUGCGCUAACAACGCAAUAUUCCGAUGAGGGGCAUGUAGUUACAGAGACCGUGGACUACAAAAACGCAACUACUGAGGAGUGG
Molecule: long non-coding RNA, 376 nt
Organism: Dermacentor silvarum
Lineage: Eukaryota; Metazoa; Arthropoda; Arachnida; Ixodida; Ixodidae
Exons: 2
Source: RefSeq, a predicted model, not a curated record